Molecule: unclassified non-coding RNA, 265 nt
Filed under: Curvularia sp.
Lineage: Eukaryota; Fungi; Ascomycota; Dothideomycetes; Pleosporales; Pleosporaceae
Description: partial internal transcribed spacer region
Rfam family: Eukaryotic small subunit ribosomal RNA (bases 1-46)
Source: RNAcentral
AAGUCGUAACAAGGUCUCCGUAGGUGAACCUGCGGAGGGAUCAUUACACAAUAACAUAUGAAGGCUGUACGCCGCUGCGCCCCCGGGCCAGUUGGCUGAGGCUGGAUUAUUUAUUACCCUUGUCUUUUGCGCACUUGUUGUUUCCUGGGCGGGUUCGCCCGCCUCCAGGACCACACCAUAAACCCUUUUUUAUGCAGUUGCAAUCAGCGUCAGUACAACAAAUGUAAAUCAUUUACAACUUUCAACAACGGAUCUCUUGGUUCUG